RNAcentral lists this unclassified non-coding RNA (348 nucleotides) under soil metagenome. Its description in RNAcentral is "partial contains 5.8S ribosomal RNA, internal transcribed spacer 2, and large subunit ribosomal RNA". The stretch from base 1 to 120 matches the Rfam family "5.8S ribosomal RNA", at positions 35 to 154 of the family's 154-position model. The record is from RNAcentral.
GAUGAAGAACGUAGCGAAAUGCGAUAAGUAAUGUGAAUUGCAGAAUUCAGUGAAUCAUCGAAUCUUUGAACGCACAUUGCGCCCGCCAGUAUUCUGGCGGGCAUGCCUGUCUGAGCGUCAUUUCAACCCUCAUGCCCCUAGGGCGUGGUGUUGGGGAUCGGCCAAAGCCCGCGAGGGACGGCCGGCCCCUAAAUCUAGUGGCGGACCCGUCGUGGCCUCCUCUGCGAAGUAGUGAUAUUCCGCAUCGGAGAGCGAUGAGCCCCUGCCGUUAAACCCCCAACUUUCCAAGGUUGACCUCAGAUCAGGUAGGAAUACCCGCUGGACUUAAGCAUAUCAAUAAGCGGAGGA